Molecule: long non-coding RNA, 2493 nt
Organism: Rhineura floridana
Lineage: Eukaryota; Metazoa; Chordata; Lepidosauria; Squamata; Rhineuridae
Exons: 6
Source: RefSeq, a predicted model, not a curated record
GUCAGUAGUAGUGAAUAGUUAGUUGGUAAAUUAAGCCCCUUUACAAACAAUCGAAGGGAGCUCCCUAGGCUACGUCUUUCUAAGCCGCCAUCUUUUCUGAAACAGUAAGGAACUUUUCAAUGGAAGAGGCUUACUUUUGUGAGAAUGAUAAUUGCCUUACUGGAUCAGCUUAGGCUGCAAUCCAGUACAUGUCUACUCAGAAGUGGGUUCAAUGGGACUUACUCCCAGGGCAUAGCCACCAGGCUGCUAAAUGACACUGCUGCAGCAGAAACCCCCAACUUUUAGAAAAAGGAUCAAAUAAGGGAACAGCAUUGUUUCUUUUCCGAAGUUGAAUGAGUGUAUAACUUGCAGCAGCAGCAAUAUUGCCUUUCUACAAUAAUAUACCAGGAAAUCUAGAACAGAAGAUCACAGCAGCAUCUUGAUGCAAUGGAUGAGAUGCCUUUGCACUCCGCUACAUGAAAGGAAAAUAACUGUACAGCCUGGUGCUUUCUUUGUAUGAAUCAGUUCCAGGGAUUCUACAUACCCCUUGCAGGUGUAUCUCGAAGGACCUGGAAUAAGAAUACCUACAGACUGAAGGCAGAAAAAUAUACUGUGUUGGGGACCAGCUGAGAAUCUGCCCAGAGACACACUUAAAUGAAUACUAAUGCUGAAGAAGGCUUUGUAACUGGCAUGGUUUCGGUUAUGGCAGCAGAAUCUGGAUCCAAUUGAUUAUAAUGAUGUCGGGAGCAAAGAAGUCAGCAAGACCCAAGCAACACUGAUCUAGAUCACAGGAGAUGUGAAUGUGGAAUAGAAUAAUUUGUUCCAGAUGGACUGAACCAUAGAAAUAACAGGAGUCAAUUGACAGAUGUGGUGUAGAAUCUUUGGCAUCAGGGGAUUCUAUCUGUAUAAGACAUCUUUGCACUGAUAAAAAGUAUUCAACUUCAUCAUGACUAAUGGCAGGUAGCUAUCUAAACAACAGGCCACUGGCUGUGUAUACCGCAACACAUACGUUCACAAUCAGGCCAAGUCCAAGAUGUUAGUGUUUGGUAUAUACAGCCCUUAGCACCAGAUUGCUUAAAUGCUCACUUUACUCCAUAUGUGUCCCAUGAUAUGUUCAUUCCGCAUUUGCAAGGAGUCCUUCCUUUGGUUUGGCAGCACCUGUGCUCUGGAAUGCCCUGUCUAUUGACAUUAUGUGGACACCUUCGCGACAGGUGAUGCCUGCUAAAAACCUUUCUGUUUCAGCAGGUCUAUCCAGACACAUGAUUUGGUUACAUCUGUUUUUAAAUUUGCUUUAUUGUGUUGGUUUUUUUUAAAAAAAAAAACACUACAUGCUUUUAAUUGGUUUUAAAUGUUUUAAAUAUUUUAGAUUAUUUUAAUGGUCUUUUAUCACAUAUGUGUUUGUUACCCUGUGGUCCUUUGGGAGGAAGAAUGAGAUAUAAAUUAUAUUAUUGUUGUUGUUCUUGUUGUUACAGUCUUGAAAAUGUCCACAAAAAUUACUAGCUUGCAAUUGAUUGAUUGAUUUUACUAGCCUGGCUGCUAAGAGCCUAAUAGUCUCCAUUUCUGUGCUGAUCUUGGAGGAGGGAGCUUACCCUAUGGUCAGCAUGGAAAUAUAGGAUGCUAGCCUCCUAGCAGGCUAGUUAAAAAAAUUACCUUCUAUCAGGUGAGCUGCUGGAAGAGGGAUAGAAUGACUCAUAUUUCCUCCACCAGGCUCACUUGCUCACAUAGAAUUCUUUAUUGCUUAAUGUUACCAGGAGAGUUGUCAGAUAGAUCCCUGGUGUACAAAACCCUGUGGGAUAUGUCUGAUCUUCAGAAUUAAUGUGAUAUUUACCAUGUUUUAGGUCCAUCGACUAUAUAAUACGGAUUCUUAUCUGCAGCCAUUAUGUAUGAAUGUGUGAAUACUGUCACAGAUACACACAAGCAAGCAAGCAAAUCCUGUGAACAAUUCAAGGGCAUCCUCAUAAUUUUGGAUUUCUUAAUUACGAGUUAAUUAUUUAACCAGUACGAGGCUAUGACUUGGUAAUAGCCUGUGCAGAAGAAAUGAUUUUGAUUAAAUGGGUUACAACUGGCGUCAUUCCAGCGUAAUUUUCUCCUCUUUUUUUUAUUUCUUUUGCCAAUAAUGUGGAAGGAAAAUAGAGACCUGGAAGAGAUCCAACCCCUGGGACACUCUAAUGAAUUAUAAAAGAGAAAUAAUUACAUAGCAUUCCAAAGAAAGGUUUAAGACAGGGGAAGUUUGGUAGUAACAGCUUGGAGAGGAAACUUAAACGGCAUCUGUAACAAGUGAUUUUGAUGGAGCAAAACUGUUUUAAUGAACUUGGAAUGUGUUUAAUAUUCUACAGAAGCUUUUAACUUUGCUUCUAAAGCGAUGUGGUCGCCCCAUUCCUGGUAGCAAUUUCCAUUAACGAGAUAUCGCUCUGUGUUAUAACAAGGCCUUUGAAGAUCAAUUAUUCUGAUGCAGUUUGGUUCUUGAUCACCUUCAUUUUUCAUAUAAAAAGUCUUCUGGGAAAAAUAAACUAA